GCCAGGUAUGGUGGCAUGCACCUGUAGUCCUAGCUACUCGGGAGGCUGAGGCAGUAGAAUCACUGAGCCCCAGAGUUCUGGGCUAUAGAGCACUAAUGUCAAUCGGGUGUCUGCACUAAAUUUCAUGGCAAUAUAGUGACCUCCCAGGCGUGACGGACAAUCAGGUUGCCUAAGGAGGGGUGAACUGGCCCAGGUAGGACACAGAGAAGGUUGAAACUUCAGUGCUGAUCAGUGGUGGGAUUAGGCCUGUGAAUAGCCACUGCACUCCGGCCUGGGCAACAUGGCAAGACCCUGUCUCUU
RNAcentral lists this signal recognition particle RNA (300 nucleotides) under Macaca fascicularis (crab-eating macaque). Its description in RNAcentral is "Metazoan signal recognition particle RNA (ENSMFAG00000014301.2)". It matches the Rfam family "Metazoan signal recognition particle RNA". Rfam says of the family: The signal recognition particle (SRP) is a universally conserved ribonucleoprotein. Lineage: Eukaryota; Metazoa; Chordata; Mammalia; Primates; Cercopithecidae. The record is from Rfam by way of RNAcentral.